This 468-nucleotide ribosomal RNA is filed under the name uncultured bacterium. Its description in RNAcentral is "partial 16S ribosomal RNA". It matches the Rfam family "Bacterial small subunit ribosomal RNA", at positions 28 to 507 of the family's 1533-position model. The record is from RNAcentral.
GACGAACGCUGGCGGCGUGCUUAACACAUGCAAGUCGAACGGACAGGCCCUGCUUUUGUGGGGUGCUCGAGUGGCGAACGGGUGAGUAACACGUGAGUAACCUGCCCUUGACUUUGGGAUAACUUCAGGAAACUGGAGCUAAUACCGGAUAGGAGUUCCUGCUGCAUGGCGGUGGUUGGAAAGUUUCGGCGGUUGUGGAAGGAAUCGCGGUUUACGAGCCUGUUGGGGGGGUUGUGGCGUACCAAGGCUAUGACGGGUAGCCGGCCUGAGAGGGUGACCGGCCACAUUGGGACUGAGAUACGGACCAGACUCAUACGGGAGGCAGCAGUGGGGAAUAUUGCACAAUGGGCGGAAGCCGGAUGCAGCAACGCCGCGUGCGGGAUGACGGCUGUCGGGUUGGAAACCGCUUUCGCCUGUGACGAAGCGUGAGUGACGGUAACGGGUAAAGAAGCAACGGCUAACUACGUG